Molecule: ribosomal RNA, 327 nt
Filed under: Triticum aestivum (bread wheat)
Lineage: Eukaryota; Viridiplantae; Streptophyta; Magnoliopsida; Poales; Poaceae
Description: partial small subunit ribosomal RNA
Source: RNAcentral
ACUAAAGAUCAUGAGUUUUAUGCUUUGUGUGAUUUGGGUGCUAGUGUUUCCACUAUCCCCAAAACUUUGUGUGAUUUGCUAGAUUUCCGCAAUUUUGAUGAUUGCUCUCUAAACUUGCAUCUUGCGGAUUCUACUAUUAAGAAACCUAUGGGAAGGAUUAAUGAUAUUCUUAUUGUUGCAAAUAGGAAUUAUGUGCCCGUAGAUUUCAUUGUUCUUGAUAUAGAUUGCAAUCCUUCUUGCCCUAUUAGUCUUGGUAGACCUUUCCUUAGAACGGUUGGUGUGAUUAUUGAUAUGAAGGAAGGGAAUAUUAGAUUCAAUUUCCAUUAA